UGCCUUGCGUUCUAGUGGACCUG
Molecule: non-coding RNA, 23 nt
Filed under: Rattus norvegicus (Norway rat)
Lineage: Eukaryota; Metazoa; Chordata; Mammalia; Rodentia; Muridae
Source: RNAcentral